CCUACGGGAGGCAGCAGUGAGGAAUAUUGGUCAAUGGACGAGAGUCUGAACCAGCCAAGUAGCGUGAAGGAUGACUGCCCUAUGGGUUGUAAACUUCUUUUAUAUGGGAAUAAAAUGUUCCACGUGUGGGAUUUUGUAUGUAUCAUAUGAAUAAGGAUCGGCUAACUCCGUGCCAGCAGCCGCGGUAAUACGGAGGAUCCGAGCGUUAUCCGGAUUUAUUGGGUUUAAAGGGUGCGUAGGUGGAUUGUUAAGUCAGUUGUGAAAGUUUGCGGCUCAACCGUAAAAUUGCAGUUGAAACUGGCAGUCUUGAGUACAGUAGAGGUGGGCGGAAUGCGUGGUGUAGCGGUGAAAUGCUUAGAGAUCACGAAGAACUCCGAUUGCGAAGGCAGUUCACUGGACUGCAACUGACACUGAGGCUCGAAAGUGUGGGUAUCAAACAGGAUUAGAUACCCGUGUAGUC
RNAcentral lists this ribosomal RNA (460 nucleotides) under uncultured bacterium. RNAcentral's name for it is "partial 16S ribosomal RNA". It matches the Rfam family "Bacterial small subunit ribosomal RNA", at positions 338 to 795 of the family's 1533-position model. The record is from RNAcentral.